Ornithodoros turicata is the source of this 480-nucleotide long non-coding RNA. RefSeq lists it as uncharacterized. The transcript has 4 exons. NCBI's taxonomy places the organism in Eukaryota, Metazoa, Arthropoda, Arachnida, Ixodida, Argasidae. The record is from RefSeq and is a predicted model, not a curated record.
GCUUCGCGUUUUUGUGCAUGUGCGGGAAGUUUUGUCCGCGGAAGUGCAAUGAAAAAGGGUAGUUUCCUUCUGUUCAGUGGUCAAGGGCAACUCAGGCCAAAGAAUAGCUGAUCAUGUUGGAGACCCCUGGUUUAAACGAUCCUCUGCCAAAAAGCGAGAAUGGUGCAACGCUAUCUCUUUCUGAGCGACGAUGUCUGUCACACAAACAGGCUGUAUCGUGAGGGACAGUGUAACGUGGACACUACUAGUAGUUGUGCAGUGCAGUGAGGAUGACUACUGAAGAUUUUUUGAGAAUGAACGUCCUGUCGAACCAUCCUGCCGCAUCAUCGUCCCAGGUUAUCUAUGUACGUUUUGUGCUACUUAUGGUGAUAUGGAAUCUACAGUGAAGCUCAACUGAAGAAUAACAAGAUCACCAUCAGGAACCAAGCAGUUGUCAACGCAGCCUCUGGGAGCUUCUUUGCAUCUACAAAGUAUUUUGAG